UUGCUCCGCAGCAAAUACACUAAAAUAGAAACGAUACAGAGAAGAUUAGCAUGGCCCCUGCGCAAGGACGACAUGCAAAUUCAUGAAGUGUGCCAUAUUUUA
Small nuclear RNA from Octodon degus (degu), 102 nucleotides. Lineage: Eukaryota; Metazoa; Chordata; Mammalia; Rodentia; Octodontidae. The record is from Ensembl.